This 406-nucleotide long non-coding RNA is filed under the name Prunus persica (peach). RNAcentral describes it as "long non-coding RNA (PPER_LNC007095)". Lineage: Eukaryota; Viridiplantae; Streptophyta; Magnoliopsida; Rosales; Rosaceae. The record is from RNAcentral.
GGGAAUAGUCCCCCGAUGGGGACGGGGAUGGGGAUUCCCCGAAACCUAAUAAACGGGGAUGGGUUCAGGGACGGGAGCGGGGAUGGAGAGCAGGGAUGAGGAUGGUAUUGUCAUACCCGGCCCCUACCCGACCCGUUGCCAUCCCUAGAUGAGAUGCUUCUAUAUAUAUAACAAGCAAACUUCGUAUGUAAUUAAGCUUUGGAUCAGAAGCUUCUAGAAAAUUCCGUUUGCUUUGAAUUACCUUCUCUUGAAGCAAUGCUGGUUCGUUAUCUUUCCCUUGCCUAUUUAUAGCGUACGAAAACUCAUAAUGGCUUUUCCAUUUGAGUUCUCUGCUUAUGCAUUGCUUUCAUAUUUCUCAUAAUUCAGUUGUUUGUACUGCCUUCUCCUUGAUUGCCUCAUCCUCGUG